RNAcentral lists this ribosomal RNA (613 nucleotides) under uncultured bacterium. RNAcentral's name for it is "bacterial SSU rRNA". It matches the Rfam family "Bacterial small subunit ribosomal RNA", at positions 28 to 638 of the family's 1533-position model. The record is from RNAcentral.
AUUGAACGCUGGCGGCAUGCCUUACACAUGCAAGUCGAACGGCAGCGCGGGGCAACCUGGCGGCGAGUGGCGAACGGGUGAGUAAUAUAUCGGAACGUGCCCUGGAGUGGGGGAUAACGUAGCGAAAGUUACGCUAAUACCGCAUACGAUCUAAGGAUGAAAGUGGGGGAUCGCAAGACCUCAUGCUCCUGGAGCGGCCGAUAUCUGAUUAGCUAGUUGGUAGGGUAAAAGCCUACCAAGGCAUCGAUCAGUAGCUGGUCUGAGAGGACGACCAGCCACACUGGAACUGAGACACGGUCCAGACUCCUACGGGAGGCAGCAGUGGGGAAUUUUGGACAAUGGGCGCAAGCCUGAUCCAGCAAUGCCGCGUGAGUGAAGAAGGCCUUCGGGUUGUAAAGCUCUUUUGUCAGGGAAGAAACGGUGCUUUCUAAUACAGAGCGCUAAUGACGGUACCUGAAGAAUAAGCACCGGCUAACUACGUGCCAGCAGCCGCGGUAAUACGUAGGGUGCAAGCGUUAAUCGGAAUUACUGGGCGUAAAGCGUGCGCAGGCGGUUUUGUAAGUCUGUCGUGAAAUCCCCGGGCUCAACCUGGGAAUGGCGAUGGAGACUGCAA